GGAAGCUUACUCAAGUGGUUUAAGAGACUAGUCUUGAAAACUAGGAGGCGGUUAAUAACCGUGCCAGAGUUCGAAUCUCUGAGCUUCCGCCA
This 92-nucleotide transfer RNA is filed under the name Bacteriophage sp. RNAcentral's name for it is "tRNA-Ser". It matches the Rfam family "tRNA". From Rfam's summary of the family: Transfer RNA (tRNA) molecules are approximately 80 nucleotides in length. Their secondary structure includes four short double-helical elements and three loops (D, anti-codon, and T loops). Further hydrogen bonds mediate the characteristic L-shaped molecular structure. tRNAs have two regions of fundamental functional importance: the anti-codon, which is responsible for specific mRNA codon recognition, and the 3' end, to which the tRNAs corresponding amino acid is attached (by aminoacyl-tRNA synthetases). tRNAs cope with the degeneracy of the genetic code in two manners: having more than one tRNA (with a specific anti-codon) for a particular amino acid; and 'wobble' base-pairing, i.e. permitting non-standard base-pairing at the 3rd anti-codon position. The record is from RNAcentral.